AGAGUUUGAUCCUGGCUCAGGAUGAACGCUAGCUACAGGCUUAACACAUGCAAGUCGAGGGGCAGCGAGGCGGUAGCAAUACCGCCGUCGGCGACCGGCGCACGGGUGAGUAACGCGUAUCCAACCUACCCUCCAGUAGGGCAUAGCCCGUAGAAAUGCGGAUUAAUACCCUAUGUUGUAUUUUGAGGACAUCUGAUGAAUACCAAAGGUUUACCGCUGGGGGAUGGGGAUGCGUCUGAUUAGGUAGUCGGCGGGGUAACGGCCCACCGAGCCUUCGAUCAGUAGGGGUUCUGAGAGGAAGGUCCCCCACAUUGGAACUGAGACACGGUCCAAACUCCUACGGGAGGCAGCAGUGAGGAAUAUUGGUCAAUGGGCGAUGGCCUGAACCAGCCAAGUAGCGUGCGGGACGACGGCCCUAUGGGUUGUAAACCGCUUUUGCAGGGGAAUAAAGUGUCCUACGCGUAGGAUUUUGUAUGUACCCUGAGAAUAAGGACCGGCUAAUUCCGUGCC
This 510-nucleotide ribosomal RNA is filed under the name uncultured organism. RNAcentral describes it as "SSU rRNA". It matches the Rfam family "Bacterial small subunit ribosomal RNA", at positions 8 to 509 of the family's 1533-position model. The record is from RNAcentral.